RNAcentral lists this ribosomal RNA (440 nucleotides) under Planococcus maritimus. RNAcentral describes it as "bacterial SSU rRNA". It matches the Rfam family "Bacterial small subunit ribosomal RNA", at positions 338 to 795 of the family's 1533-position model. The record is from RNAcentral. Lineage: Bacteria; Bacillati; Bacillota; Bacilli; Caryophanales; Caryophanaceae.
CCUACGGGUGGCUGCCGAGAAUAUUCCGCAAUGGGCGAAAGCCUGACGGAGCGACGCCGCGUGAUUGAUGAGGCAUUUCGGUGUGUAAAGAUCUUUUAUGAGGGAAGAAAUUUUUGACGGUACCUCAGGAAUAAGGGGCUCCUAAUCUCGUGCCAGCAGGAGCGGUAAUACGAGAGCCCCAAGCAUUAUCCGGAAUUAUUGGGCGUAAAGGGUGCGCAGGUGGCGGUGUUAGUCUUUUGUUAAAACCCCGGGCUUAACCUGGGAGGGGCAGAAGAAACGGCAUCGCUAGAGAGUAUGAGAGGCGUGCGGAACUCAUGGUGUAGGGGUGAAAUCCGUUGAUAUCAUGGGGAACACCGAAAGCGAAGGCAGCACGCUGGCAUAUUUCUGACGCUCAUGCACGAAAGCGUAGGUAGCGAAUGGGAUUAGAUACCCCGGUAGUC